AUGAAACUCACAGGGUUCCCCCUAGUAGCGGCGAGCGAAGCGGGAAGAGCUCAAAUUUAUAAUCUGGCACCUUCGGUGUCCGAGUUGUAAUCUCUAGAAGUGUUUUCCGCGUUGGACCGCACACAAGUCUGUUGGAAUACAGCGGCAUAGUGGUGAAACCCCCGUAUAUGGUGCGGACGCCCAGCGCUUUGUGAUACACUUUCAAUGAGUCGAGUUGUUUGGGAAUGCAGCUCAAAUUGGGUGGUAAAUUCCAUCUAAAGCUAAAUAUUGGCGAGAGACCGAUAGCGAACAAGUACCGUGAGGGAAAGAUGAAAAGCACUUUGGAAAGAGAGUUAACAGUACGUGAAAUUGUUGGAAGGGAAACGCUUGAAGUCAGACUUGCUUGCCGGAGCUUGCUUCGGUUUGCAGGCCAGCAUCAGUUUUCCGGGGUGGAUAAUAACGGUUUGAAGGUAGCAGUCUCGGCUGUGUUAUAGCUUUCCGUUGGAUACAUCCUGGGGGACUGAGGAACGCAGCGUGCUUUUUGCGAAAGACUCGUCUUUUUCACACUUAGGAUGCGGGAAUG
RNAcentral lists this ribosomal RNA (562 nucleotides) under Rhodotorula glutinis. Its description in RNAcentral is "eukaryotic LSU rRNA". It matches the Rfam family "Eukaryotic large subunit ribosomal RNA", at positions 59 to 633 of the family's 3401-position model. Lineage: Eukaryota; Fungi; Basidiomycota; Microbotryomycetes; Sporidiobolales; Sporidiobolaceae. The record is from RNAcentral.